AAUGGGGGCAACCCUGAUCCAGCCAUGCCGCGUGAGUGAAGAAGGCCUUCGGGUUGUAAAGCUCUUUCGGCCGGGAAGAAAUCGCGCUCUCUAACAUAGGGUGUGGAUGACUGUACCGGCAUAAGAAGCACCGGCUAACUACGUGCCAGCAGCCGCGGUAAUACGUAGGGUGCGAGCGUUAAUCGGAAUUACUGGGCGUAAAGCGUGCGCAGGCGGUUUUGUAAGACAGGCGUGAAAUCCCCGGGCUUAACCUGGGAACUGCGCUUGUGACUGCAAGGCUGGAGUACGGCAGAGGGGGGUAGAAUUCCACGUGUAGCAGUGAAAUGCGUAGAGAUGUGGAGGAAUACCGAUGGCGAAGGCAGCCCCCUGGGCCGAUACUGACGCUCAUGCACGAAAGCGUGGGGAGCAAA
RNAcentral lists this ribosomal RNA (410 nucleotides) under uncultured bacterium. RNAcentral describes it as "bacterial SSU rRNA". It matches the Rfam family "Bacterial small subunit ribosomal RNA", at positions 370 to 772 of the family's 1533-position model. The record is from RNAcentral.